UACGUAGGGCGCAAGCGUUGUCCGGAAUUAUUGGGCGUAAAGAGCUCGUAGGCGGUUUGUCGCGUCUGUCGUGAAAGCUUGGGGCUUAACCCCAAGUCUGCGGUGGAUACGGGCAGACUAGAGGCAGGUAGGGGAGAACGGAAUUCCCGGUGUAGCGGUGAAAUGCGCAGAUAUCGGGAGGAACACCGGUGGCGAAGGCGGCACGCUGGGCCUCUCCUGACGCUGAGGCGCGAAAGCCAGGGGAGCGAACGGG
RNAcentral lists this ribosomal RNA (253 nucleotides) under uncultured bacterium. RNAcentral's name for it is "partial 16S ribosomal RNA". It matches the Rfam family "Bacterial small subunit ribosomal RNA", at positions 524 to 776 of the family's 1533-position model. The record is from RNAcentral.